CCUACGGGUGACAGCAGUGAGGAAUAUUGGUCAAUGGGCUUACGCCUGAACCAGCCAAGUCGCGUGAGGGAAGACUGCCCUAUGGGUUGUAAACCUCUUUUGUCAGGGAGCAAUUGGCGCUACGUGUAGCGUUAUCGAGAGUACCUGAAGAAAAAGCAUCGGCUAACUCCGUGCCAGCAGCCGCGGUAAUACGGAGGAUGCGAGCGUUAUCCGGAUUUAUUGGGUUUAAAGGGUGCGUAGGCGGAAUGCCAAGUCAGCGGUAAAAUCGCGGGGCUCAACCUCGCUCCGCCGUUGAAACUGGCGUUCUUGAGUGGGCGAGAAGUAUGCGGAAUGCGUGGUGUAGCGGUGAAAUGCAUAGAUAUCACGCAGAACUCCGAUUGCGAAGACAGCUUACUAAACUGUGACUGACAUUGAUGCUCGAAAGUGUGGGUAUCAAACAGGAUUAGAUACCCCAGUAGUC
This 460-nucleotide ribosomal RNA is filed under the name uncultured bacterium. RNAcentral describes it as "partial 16S ribosomal RNA". It matches the Rfam family "Bacterial small subunit ribosomal RNA", at positions 338 to 795 of the family's 1533-position model. The record is from RNAcentral.